This is a long non-coding RNA of Sorghum bicolor (sorghum), 757 nucleotides long. RefSeq lists it as uncharacterized. The transcript has 3 exons. The record is from RefSeq and is a predicted model, not a curated record. NCBI's taxonomy places the organism in Eukaryota, Viridiplantae, Streptophyta, Magnoliopsida, Poales, Poaceae.
GUGCCUAGGAGGCAGCCAUGGGAGGGCUUAGGAUGUGGAGGCGCGGGCUUGGGAUGUGGGGGCGCACCCUCAAGAUGCGCCAGUGACGCGGGUUUGAGAUGCGGCAACCGAAUCCAUUCCAUCCUAGCUCACCGUCGCUCUCUCCGUACUCAUAUACAGAUCAGCAAUCAUAAUCGAGGAUAUAAGGAAAUGUAAACAUAUUGUUUUCACAGAAACUAUGCAAGGAUCUGUCACAUCUGGUACCAGGCUAACUUCCUCGGUGCUCUUCCUAUCCAUGUAUGCACAUUUCAGAAGGUGUAGAACACUUCGACAUAAUAUAGAUUAGUGAUUUCAGUUGACACGAGAGGAUGGGUUAUCCACUCAAUAAUUCAGUAGUUAGAAUCAUCCAUGGAAUAUGCUGAUAUGCUUGUUUUUGUUAGUGUCCGAUGGGCAUAUCAUUUGUAGUUGAAGAUAAAGGAAAGAGAGGCACCAUCCAUGCGGUCUGAGCUCUGUGAACUGUUUAACCUGACCAAAGAGGUGUGGAAACUGUUGAUCAUGUGGUGUCCAAUGAGAAUAUCCUACCUUGAAUGAGGGGCAGUACAUAGAGUCUGCUUGUAACUGAGAGAGACUCGUGUAGUUUUUACACAACUUAUAGCUCCUCAACCAAACGCACCCAAAAGUAGUGGUGAUGGUGCUGUGAAAUUUGAACAAGCUAAAAGCUACUUUUGGUUAUACAAUAUAUAAGACAUCAAUCUUAAUAAAUCUAAUUUUUGUGACA